CGUAUCGGAAAAUGAUAGCCGCAAUUAAAGGCGCGUUGAGGGCUGAAAUGGGGAGGCGAUGUCGUCUGAUGUAGAAGGGUUUAACGCCAGAGCGUUUGCCGGGUUAAUCUACUGAGGUGCACGGCGGUUGAAACGCGAUCCUUUUUUUCGACACUCGGCGGGCGUUUGAGUUCGCCUAAUCGAGCAUUUGUCACGCAGUUUGAUUACUUCGAUUUAGAUUGCGUUAUACAGAGCCAUUCUAAGACCGCUAUACACGAAAACUGCGGCUCGACGACGAGUCAACAUGUUUAUAAGCUCUCUCACUUUGUUGAUAAUCUGACGGCAUUCCCCCGGGAUAUUGACUAAAAAGGUGCCCUCUCCAGUUCCCCUGAUGGAUCUGCGGAGUCGGAUAUCUGGCGCUGCGGAGAACCGAGCUGAUUGCAGUACCAGCACUCUGAAGCACUUAUUUGAGCAGGAAAGAUAAAGGAGCCGAUUACCCUUGAGAGGGAGGACCUGGUGCGGGCCGCACCCACGUGGAGACUGGAAGGGCGAGCCCCUCCUGGACAGCCCGUAUUAGGAUCUCCUGGUCUGAGCUGAUGAUUGCCAUCCUCCAGGCAUAAUCUGUGCCGAGAGGCUCGCCAUCGUGCAGUGCUAUGCAUUGCCAGAGCACGUGAGUAUCGUGAGUGAAGCGUCUACUGUCGGAUCAACACACUCCAGGGUCUCUUUCUUCUCGACAUGGCUGAGAAGGGCAGCACAGGAGCAGAUAGCCAGACCGUUAAGAGACCAAAAGGGAAGGAUGCAUCGUGUGUGCCGGGUCUGAUCGCAUAGGAGGAAUUUGUCAUGCUGCAACACACGGUGGGGCAGCACCAUUGCCGUAUCAGGAGGCAACAGUUUCAUUGCCACUGAAUAAGCUUGACAUGGCCUGGCGAGCCUCUGCUGAUGGUACUUCUCGCCUAACCAGCAUGCUUUCAAGCUGAGCCGAGAUUAUGACCAAGACAAGGAUGCACAAACUUAUUGGCUGAAACCUAGCUCCCAACAAACGUGGCCAGCAGAUCACUGACGAGGAAGAGGCUCAAGUAACACUCCUCAACCAAGCUUGGCGGGCUCAGCUGCUGAGGCCUGUGGAGCCCUGGACUAGGAACCUCACCGACAUGCUUCUCCAACCUCUUUCCUUUUACAAUAAAUAAUUCUCAGUUAAUACUUGAAGUCAUAUGCCAUAACCAAACCUGCAAAUGGUUCAGCCAAUUUAAUAUAGUUGUCACACAUGCACUUUUGAUUGCAAUCGGGGCCGAUCCGGAUCGGACUUCUUGAGCGCAAUUAGCAAGUUGGUCGCUGCUACGCGGUGCAGCCUGAGCCAGAUUAAGUUUGGCAUGGGCAUCAGCCAAAUCGUGAUGCACGAAUUGUGAUAGUUUUUGAUCGCAAUUAAAUGUGACCGUGUAGCAGCUCCUUAUCCGGAUCGAGCCUAAUCCAGAUCAGCCCUGAUCGCGAUCAAAAGUGCCCAUGCGACACCGGUAUAAGACUCACAUGAUGCUUGCAGAGGAUGAACAUUCCAGAU
Long non-coding RNA from Rhipicephalus sanguineus (brown dog tick), 1534 nucleotides. RefSeq lists it as uncharacterized. The transcript has 6 exons. NCBI's taxonomy places the organism in Eukaryota, Metazoa, Arthropoda, Arachnida, Ixodida, Ixodidae. The record is from RefSeq and is a predicted model, not a curated record.